UGGGGAAUCUUGCGCAAUGGGCGAAAGCCUGACGCAGCAACGCCGCGUGGGGGAUGAAGGCUCUCGGGUUGUAAACCCCUUUCAGGAGGGACGAAAAUGACGGUACCUCCAGAAGAAGCCCCGGCCAACUACGUGCCAGCAGCCGCGGUAACACGUAGGGGGCGAGCGUUGUCCGGAUUUAUUGGGCGUAAAGAGCUCGUAGGCGGUUUGGCAAGUCGGGUGUGAAAUUUCGAGGCUCAACCUCGAAACGCCACUCGAUACUGCCAUGACUGGAGUCCGGUAGAGGAGUGCGGAAUUCCUGGUGUAGCGGUGAAAUGCGCAGAUAUCAGGAGGAACACCAACGGCGAAGGCAGCACUCUGGGCCGGUACUGACGCUGAGGAGCGAAAGCGUGGGGAGCAAA
This 401-nucleotide ribosomal RNA is filed under the name uncultured bacterium. RNAcentral's name for it is "bacterial SSU rRNA". It matches the Rfam family "Bacterial small subunit ribosomal RNA", at positions 355 to 772 of the family's 1533-position model. The record is from RNAcentral.